This 932-nucleotide ribosomal RNA is filed under the name Candidatus Phytoplasma asteris-related phytoplasma. RNAcentral's name for it is "bacterial SSU rRNA". It matches the Rfam family "Bacterial small subunit ribosomal RNA", at positions 217 to 1158 of the family's 1533-position model. The record is from RNAcentral. Lineage: Bacteria; Bacillati; Mycoplasmatota; Mollicutes; Acholeplasmatales; Acholeplasmataceae.
GCUUAAGGAGGGGCUUGCGACACAUUAGUUANUUGGUAGGGUAAAGGCCUACCAAGACUAUGAUGUGUAGCUGGACUGAGAGGUUGAACAGCCACAUUGGGACUGAGACACGGCCCAAACUCCUACGGGAGGCAGCAGUAGGGAAUUUUCGGCAAUGGAGGAAACUCUGACCGAGCAACGCCGCGUGAACGAUGAAGUACCUCGGUAUGUAAAGUUCUUUUAUUAAGGAAGAAAAAAGAGUGGAAAAACUCCCUUGACGGUACUUAAUGAAUAAGCCCCGGCUAAUUAUGUGCCAGCAGCCGCGGUAAUACAUAAGGGGCGAGCGUUAUCCGGAAUUAUUGGGCGUAAAGGGUGCGUAGGCGGUUUAAUAAGUCUAUAGUUUAAUUUCAGUGCUUAACGCUGUUGUGCUAUAGAAACUGUUUUACUAGAGUGAGAUAGAGGCAAGCGGAAUUCCAUGUGUAGCGGUAAAAUGCGUAAAUAUAUGGAGGAACACCAGAGGCGUAGGCGGCUUGCUGGGUCUUUACUGACGCUGAGGCACGAAAGCGUGGGGAGCAAACAGGAUUAGAUACCCUGGUAGUCCACGCCGUAAACGAUGAGUACUAAGUGUCGGGUAAAACUGGUACUGAAGUUAACACAUUAAGUACUCCGCCUGAGUAGUACGUACGCAAGUAUGAAACUUAAAGGAAUUGACGGGACUCCGCACAAGCGGUGGAUCAUGUUGUUUAAUUCGAAGAUACACGAAAAACCUUACCAGGUCUUGACAUUUUCUUGCGAAGUUAUAGAAAUAUAAUGGAGGUCAUCAGGAAAACAGGUGGUGCAUGGUUGUCGUCAGCUCGUGUCGUGAGAUGUUAGGUUAAGUCCUAAAACGAGCGCAACCCUUGUCGUUAGUUGCCAGCAUGUAAUGAUGGGGACUUUAACGAGACUGCCAAUGA